ACGUGUCAAAUUUGUAUGGAGUUGGAACAGUUCCCUCUAGCGGCAAACGUAGGCAAACGUUCCAGUUCCAUACAAAUUUGAGUUA
This is a non-coding RNA of Bombyx mori (domestic silkworm), 85 nucleotides long. Lineage: Eukaryota; Metazoa; Arthropoda; Insecta; Lepidoptera; Bombycidae. The record is from Rfam.